Molecule: long non-coding RNA, 12818 nt
Filed under: Zea mays
Lineage: Eukaryota; Viridiplantae; Streptophyta; Magnoliopsida; Poales; Poaceae
Source: RNAcentral
GGCAUUUCCCAUUGAUAUAGGAACUUUUGUACCAGAAACAAUAGUAUCUCCAAUUAUAGCCCCUCUGGGAUGUAAAAUAUAUCUCUUCUCACCAUCCCCAUAGUGUAUGAGACAAAUGUAUGCAUUUCGAUUAGGGUCGUAUUCUAUGGUUAUGAUUCUACCAGAUAUGUCUUUUUGAUUCCGUCAAAAAUCGAUUUUACGGUAUAGGCGCUUAUGACCUCCCCCUCUAUGCCUUGCGGUAAUGAUUCCUCUGGCAUUACGGCCUUUACCACAACGGUGCCGUCCAUGGAUCAAUUUAUUUCGUGGAUUGGAUUUCACUUGCCUGUCUACGGUUCCCUUGCGUGUGCUCGGGAUAGGUGUUUUGUAUAAAUGUUUCGCCGUAUUAUUAAGUAUUCUCCUUUAGUUCGUUUCUCUAUCUAGAAGUGGAAUAGAAUAACCCGGUUGAAGGGUAAUGAUCAUACGUCUGUAAUGCAUUGUAUGUCCCAGAAUAGGUCCCAUUCUUCUACCCUUUCCGGGUAGUCGAUGGCUAUUCACAGCUACUACCUUAACACCAAAGAAGAGUUCGACCCAAUGCUUUAUUUCUGUCUUAGUGAAUCCCGAUUCGACAUUAAAAGUAUAUUGAUUCUUUCCCAAUAAACGAAGACUCUUUUCUGUAAAUACUGCGUAUUUGAUUCCAUCCAUAAAUCGACUUUCCCCCCUAUGCUCUGAGUUCCUGUAUCGAUAAGAAUUCGAGUUCUUAUUGUUCUUAUGUUAUGGUAUGAAUAUACCAUACCAAUUCGUUAUGUAUGGAUGAUGGAUGAGAUUCCAUGGAUAGAGAGCCAAUUCCAAUAGACCGUUCCCGUUCGCGUGCAUCCAGCAGGAAUUGAACCCGCAAAUUUACCAAUUAUGAGUUGGGUGCUUUAACCAUUCAGCCAUGGAUGCUUAACAGGGAUCAUCGUACAUCAUAAAUAACCAAUUUUCAUAUAGAAAGACAUAUCAUAGAAAAAUGAAAUCGAAAAUAUUCGGAGAUGGCAAAUAUUCGGAGAUGACUAUGAAAACACCUCUCCGGAUCCUCGAAUUGAAAGAGAGACUGAGAGGGAUCAAGAAUCCUAAUUCUCGCUAUUUGGAAUGGAUCCAAUUCUAUUGAGUCUGACCCAUAGUGAUCAUUUCUCUUUAGCAAAGAAUGACCUUGGUUAUCAAAGGAUUGAACAACUGAGAUCCAUUUACUUAUGAUACCUAGUUGACAUUGCUAACAAGGAUCUAAUGAAUUAUGAGUUUAAUAGAUUCUCUUUAGCAGAAAGACGUAUAUUCCUUGCUCAUUAUCAGACAAUCACUUAUUCCCAAACCUCGUGUGGGGCUAAUCGUUUUCAUUUACCAUCUCAUGGAAAACCCUUUUCGUUCCGCUUAGCCCUAUCGGGUAUUUUAGUGAUAGGUUCUAUAGGAACUGGACAAUCCUAUUUGGUCAAAUACCUAACGAAAAAUUCCUAUUUUCCUUUCAUUAAGGUACGAGGGCUUCUUAUUCCACAAGAACAAAAGCACCUUUUCAUUCUUUCAUAUACUAGGGGUUUUUACUUGGAAAAGACAAUGUUCCAUACUAAAGGAUUCGGGUCCAUAACCACGAGUUCCAGUGCACUAGAUCUUGUAGCACUUAGCAACGAGGCCCUAUCCAUUAGUAUUCCACAUAAGAAAUCCAUUAUAGAAACUAAUACAAUUAGAUUAGCUCUUCAUAGACAAACUUGGGGUUUGCUAUCCAAGAUAAGACCGGCUCGGGAUCAUGGGACCCUUUUCUAUCAGAUAGGAGGGGAUCUUGUACAAAAUAGACUUCUAAGUAAUAACCCCAUAGAUCCUAUAUCUAUCUAUAUAAAGAGGCAAUCGUGUCAGGAAGCGGCUUUUUCUUUGGCCAAACGGUACUUCGAACUUGGAACGAGCAUGAAGAGAUUAACGAGACUUCUUUCUCUUUUGAGUUUUUCUGGCGGACCGGUCGCGCAAGAUCUUUGGUCUUCCCCCGGAACCGAUGAAAAAGUGGGUCGCUUCUUAUGGACUCGCUCAGAAUGAUUCUUCUCUAUCUAUAGUUCAUGGCCUAUUAGAAGUAGAAGGUGCUCUGGUGCAAUCCUCACCGACAGAAAAAGAUUGCAGUCGGGUUGAUAAUAAUCGAGUGCCAUUACUUUGUCGGUCCGAACCAAGGAAUCCGUUAGAAAUGUUUUGAAAUGGAUAUUGUUCUCUCUUUGAUUAGGGAUGCUAUAUGAAAAGAAGUGGAGUUUGAAAAAGGGAACGGAAUGGUCAAACCGGAACUGCUAGAGGAACGAAUUUUCAAUAGCAUAACUUAGGCUCCUAGAAUAUGGGGCCCUUGGGACAAUCUAUUUGAUUGCAGGGACAGGUACUCUGAAUAUGACUGGGGAUUUUCCUAUGGGUAUUGGAGCGGGUCCAAGCAGAUUAAAGAGGAUGAGUUGUCAGAGACUGCUAUUUAUUCGAAUUAUUUCUGGUAUAUUUAUCAUAAAAAGGGGGAGGUGCAAGAGACUGAUUCGGACUUCUUGCAGAGUGGAACAAUGCAGUACCAGACACGAGAUAUAUCUUUCAAAGAAGAAGGCUUUUUUCGAAUAAGCCAAUUGAUUUGGGACCUUCGGAUCCAUUCUUUUUCCUAUUCAAAGAUCAGGCCUUUGUCUCUGUGUUUUCACGUCGAGAAUUCUUUGCAGAUGAAGAUGAAGAGAUGGCAAAGCGGCUUAGUACCAGUACCUGGAGAAAAAAGCCUCCUAAACAUAUGGCUAGCAACUGGUUCACCAGGAGUACGCAAGAAAGGCAAAAGCACUACGAAUUAUUGAUUUAGGAAUGGGAAUGGGCUAGAACCCUGGGCUCUUCCUUAUAUAAUUAAUGGUCUUUUCAUUCUAAUACUCUAUCCGAGAGUUCUCAGUAUUUAGCAAAGUUGUUCCUAUCUAACGGAAGGCUCCUGGAUCAAAUGACAAAGACAUUGUUUGUGGAGAAAGAGGUGGCUUUUCCCGGAUGAAAUGAAACCUCAUUUGUGUAACAGGAGAAAGAUUUCCCACUCCUUAGCCGUAAAGAUAUGUGGCCAUGAAAAAGGGAGGGGAUUCAGUGGAACAGGAUUGGCCGGGCGGUAGAGUCGUGGAAACACUUGUUGAUUCCUAUUUUGGACCCUAGCUCCAUGGAACAAUAUGCUACUGCAGAAACAUGGAAGAAUUGCAAUCUUAAAUCAAAACACUAUGUAUGGGAUGAUAUGAACUGCCUAAAUAAGAAUUCUUGAGCGUCGAAUAACCUGAGUACUAACUACAUCAAACAAUUUGCAUUAAUGAAACUGUGUAAAUCCACCGGAUAAUCAAAAAUACGCAUGUCUGAUGAAAUGGUUGUUGCUAUCUGUUUCCAUAACGAAUCCUUGGUUUAACUGAAUAAGUAAAGAAAAUGGGCCCUUUCUCAAUUUUGUACUGGAUCGGGGCAUAAAAUUGAGCUAUAUGUCCAAGGUUUGAACUAUUGAUUUACGUAAUUGGAAGUAACUAAUUAGGUUUACGACGAAACCUAGAAAUCGAUCACUGAUCCAAUUUGACUACCUCUACGGGAUAGACCUCAACAGAAAACUGUUGAGUAACGGCAGCAAGUGAUUGAGUUCAGUAGUUCCUCAUAGAAAAUUAUUGACUCUAGAGAUAUGGUAAUAUGGAGAAGACAAAAUUGUUUGAAGCACGCACAGAACCGGAAGCGCCCCUUGUUUCAAAGAGAGGAGGACGGGUUAUUCACAUUUAAUUUGAUGGUCAGAGGCGAAUUGAAAGUUAAGCAGUGGUAAUUAAGACCCCCGGGUGAAAAUAGGGAUGUCUCCUACGUUACCCAUAAUAUGUGGAAGUAUCGACGUAAUUUCAUAGAGUCAUUCGAUCUGAAUGCUACAUGAAGAACAUAAGCCAGAUGACGGAACGCGGAGACCUAGGAUGUAGAAGAUCAUAACAUGAGCGAUUCGGCGGAUUUGGAUUCCUUUUCUAUAUAUCCACUCAUGUGGUACUUCAUCAUACGAUUCAUAUAAGAUCCAUCUGUCUAGAGAUCGUCAUAUACAUCUAGAAAGCCGUAUGCUUUGGAAGAAGCUUGUACAGUUUGGGAAGGGGUUUUUAGAGAAAAAAGAAGAAUCUACUUCAACCGAUAUGCCCUUAGGCACGGCCAUACAUAACAUAGAAAUCACACGUGGAAGGGGUGGGCAAUUAGCUAGAGCAGCAGGUGCUGUAGCGAAACUGAUUGCAAAAGAGGGUAAAUUGGCCACUUUAAGAUUACCAUCUGGGGAGGUCCGUUUGGUAUCCCAAAACUGCUUAGCAACAGUCGGACAAGUGGGUAAUGUUGGGGUGAACCAAAAAAGUUUGGGUAGAGCCGGAUCUAAGUGUUGGCUAGGUAAACGCCCCGUAGUAAGAGGGGUAGUUAUGAACCCUGUGGACCACCCCCAUGGGGGUGGUGAAGGGAAAGCCCCCAUUGGUAGAAAAAAACCCACAACCCCUUGGGGUUAUCCUGCGCUUGGAAGAAGAACUAGGAAAAGGAAAAAAUAUAGUGAUAGUUUUAUUCUUCGUCGCCGUAAAUAAAUACGUAACUAGGAAUAUGGAAAAUUGCAUUUUUGGAAUUUGCAAUAAUACGAUGGGCGAACGACGGGAAUUGAACCCGCGCAUGGUGGAUUCACAAUCCACUGCCUUGAUCCACUUGGCUACAUCCGCCCCUUAUCCAGCUAAAGGAUUUUCUCUUUUUCCAUUCAUUAUUAUUCUAUUUAUUCUGACCUCCAUACCUCGAUCGAGAUAGUGGACAUAGGAUGCCACUCUUUAAAAUGAAAAAAAGGAGUAAUCAGCUGUGACACGAAAAAAAACGAAUCCUUUUGUAGCUCGUCAUUUAUUGGCAAAAAUCGAAAAGGUCAAUAUGAAGGAGGAGAAAGAAAUAAUAGUAACGUGGUCCCGGGCAUCUAGCAUUCUACCCGCAAUGGUUGGCCAUACAAUCGCGAUUCAUAAUGGAAAAGAACAUAUACCUAUUUACAUAACAAAUCCUAUGGUAGGUCGCAAAUUGGGGGAAUUCGUGCCUACUCGGCAUUUCACGAGUUAUGAAAGUACAAGAAAGGAUACUAAAUCUCGUCGUUAAUUGAAUUCAGAAUAGAAAGAUUCAGAAUAAACAAAGAAAUACCCAAUAUCCUGUUGGAACAAGAUAUUGGGUAUUUCCGGCUUUCCUUCCUUCAAAAAUUCCUAUAUGUUUAGGAGAAAAACCUUAUCCAUUAAGGUAAGGAACUUCAAGAGCAGCUAGGUCUAGAGGGAAGUUGUGAGCAUUACGUUCGUGCAUUACCUCCAUACCAAGAUUAGCACGGUUGAUGAUAUCAGCCCAAGUAUUAAUAACGCGACCUUGGCUAUCAACUACAGAUUGGUUGAAAUUGAAACCAUUUAGGUUGAAUGCCAUAGUACUAAUACCUAAAGCAGUGAACCAGAUCCCUACUACAGGCCAAGCAGCCAAGAAGAAGUGUAAAGAACGAGAAUUGUUGAAACUAGCAUAUUGGAAGAUUAAUCGACCAAAAUAACCGUGAGCAGCCACAAUAUUAUAAGUCUCUUCUUCCUGACCAAAUUUGUAACCCUCAUUAGCAGACUCAUUUUCAGUGGUUUCCCUGAUCAAACUAGAGGUUACCAAGGAACCAUGCAUAGCACUGAAUAGGGAACCACCGAAUACACCAGCUACACCUAACAUGUGAAAUGGAUGCAUAAGGAUGUUGUGCUCUGCCUGGAAUACAAUCAUAAAGUUGAAAGUACCAGAUAUUCCUAAAGGCAUACCAUCAGAGAAACUUCCUUGACCAAUAGGGUAAAUCAAGAAAACAGCAGUAGCAGCUGCAACAGGAGCUGAAUAUGCAACAGCAAUCCAAGGGCGCAUACCCAGACGGAAACUAAGUUCCCACUCACGACCCAUAUAACAAGCUACACCAAGUAAGAAGUGUAGAACAAUUAGCUCAUAAGGACCGCCAUUGUAUAACCAUUCAUCAACAGAUGCAGCUUCCCAAAUUGGGUAAAAAUGCAAUCCGAUCGCCGCAGAAGUAGGAAUAAUAGCACCAGAGAUAAUAUUGUUUCCAUAAAGUAAAGAACCAGAAACAGGCUCACGAAUACCAUCAAUAUCUACUGGAGGAGCAGCGAUGAAGGCGAUAAUAAAUACGGAAGUUGCGGUCAAUAAGGUAGGGAUCAUCAAAACACCGAACCAUCCAAUGUAAAGACGGUUUUCGGUGCUAGUUAUCCAGUUGCAGAAGCGACCCCACAGGCUUGUACUUUCGCGUCUCUCUAAAAUUGCAGUCAUGGUAAGAUCUUGGUUUAUUCAAAUUGCAAGGACUCCCAAGCACACGUAUUAACUAGAAAGAAAAUAGAUAAUAGAAGGCUUGUUAUUUAACAGUAUAACAUAGUCUAUAUACCAAUGUCAACCAAGCCAGCCCCAACGAUUGGAUUUUCGUAUAACUUCAUUUACCAAAUCCAAAAAUUUGGGAAAUGAAGUUAGUAAAAAUGAAAAACUCAGAUUGCUCUUUUCUAUUUUCCAUAUGGGUUGCCCGGGACUCGAACCCGGAACUAGUCGGAUGGAGUAGAUAAUUCUUCCUUGUUACAAUAGAAAAAACCCCUCCCCAAAUCGUGCUUGCAUUUUUCAUUGCACACGACUUUCCCUAUGUGGAAAUAGCCAAUUUCUAUUCCGAAGAGGAAGUCCACUAAUUUUGAGAAUUUUUAAUUAGUUAAAGUGAUUCACCUACUAUGGAACAUUUCAGAAUGGAAAAUGUGCAAGUUUUAUCUUGAUAUCGAUCUUUUCUAGUUUAUUAAUUUUGUCUAAUGAUUAAUUAAGAGUAAGAGGAUUCACCAGGUCAUUGAUACGGAUAAUAUCCAAAUACCAAAUACGCUCACUGUGUGAUCCAUGGAAAGAAAAGUGAAUUGUUUUGGUGAACAUCAAAGAAAAAACUUGCUCUUCUUCCGUAAAAAAUUCUUCUAAAAAUACCGAACCCAAUCGUUGCAUAAAAGUUCGUACCGUACUUUUAUGUUUACGAGCUAAAGUUCUAGCACAUGAAAGUCAAAGUAUAUAUUUUAGUCGAUACAAAGUCUGUUUUUUCGAAGAUCCACUAUGAUAAUGAAAAAUAUUUCUACAUAUCCGACCAAAACGAUCAAGAAUAUCCCAAUCUGAUAAAUCAGUCCAAACGGGUUUACUAAUAGGAUGCCCCGAUCCAGUACAAAAUUGAGCUUUUGAUAAGGAUCCGACAUAGUAAAAUAACGGGUUUACUUAAACAUGUCCUAGAUCGCGUACAGUCCGACCCAUAAGGCCGGCUAGUCUGAUCUGUCGUAGGAUGGUUCAGCCCUUAAGGCCAGACAAGCGUCGCAGCAUGGAUCCGGUGUCGCGGACGAUCCGACCUCUGAGAUCGGAUGGUCCACACUCACGCAGAGACCGUCUAGUUCCUCUGAGGGAGGCAUAAUAGAGGAAUUCAGGGAUCUCGACAAGUUAGGACAGGGGUUUACAUCGGCCGAUCCUUUGGAGGAGAUCGACAUAGGAGAUGGUAAAACUCUAAGACCGACUUUUGUGAAAAAGACACUGGAGACCAAUCCUAGAAAUGAAAUGACCGGUCUAUUAAAAGAAUAUUCUGAUUGCUUUGCUUGCAAUUACACUGAGAUGUCAAGAUUAAGCCGAGAGAUAGUAGAGCAUCGAUUGCCUAUUAAGUCCGGUUUCAGACCUUUCAAGUAGAAAGCUAGAACAUUUCGUCCAGACUUACUCCCAAUUCAUCGGCUGCUAGGAGCUAAUUUUAUUAGACCUUGCAGAUACGCAGAGUGGGUCUCUAAUAUUGUGCUGGUGGAGAAGAAAUAUUCAGGUAAGCUCAAAGUAUGCAUUAAUUUUCUCAAUUUGAAUAGAGCAACUCCAAAAGAUGAAUAUCCCAUGCCCAUAGCCGACACGUUGACCAAUAAUGUGUUAGGAAAUAGAAUUAUUAGCUUUCUUGAUGGUAAUGCCAGAUAUAAUCAGAUUUUCAUGGCCAAAGAAGAUGCGUUCAAAAUGGUCUUUAUAUGUCCAGGCUUUAUUGGUUUAUUUGAGUGUGUUGUCAAGACAUUCGGCCUGAAAAAUGCUGGUGCUACUUAUCAGAGGGCUAUGAAUUUGAUCUUUAACGAUCUAUUGGAAAAUACUAUGGAAGUCUACAUUGAUGAUAUCGUAGUCAAAUCGGCUGAGUUUAGUUCUCAUAUAGCUCAUUUGCGCAAAGCCUUUGAUAAAAUGUGUCGGUAUGGUCUAAAAUGAACCCACGUAAAUGUGCUUUUGGAGGUUGGCUGGUAAGUUCUUAGAAUUUAUAAUUCAUGAACAUGGUAUAGAGAUAGACCUUGACCGAAUUAAAUCCAUUCUGAAUGUGGGACCUCCGACAUGUAAGCUUGAAAUGUAGAAGUUUCUCAGUAAGGUAAAUUAUUUACGAAGGUUUAUUUCUAAUCUAGCAGGGAAGAUCAAUGCCUUCACUCCUAUCCUUUGGCUUAAAAAUGAUAUCGAAUACACCUGGGGGAUAGAACAAGAGGAAGCAUUUGAUCUCAUUAGAAAAUAUUUGUCUUCGGCUCCCGUAUUAAAAGCACCACAAGCAGGAGUACCGUUUAGAUUAUACAUUGCAUCCGAAGAUAAAGUUAUUGAAGCUGUUCUAACACAAGAAACCGAAGGAAAGGAGCAUGUGGUAACCUACCUAAGUUGGAGGCUGGUGGACGCUAAAACAAGGUACACUUUCAUUGAGAAGUUAUGUCUAUGCCUGUUUUAUGCAUGCACCAAAUGUAGGUGUUAUCUAUUGCCUAGUCAUUGCAUUGUUUCUAGUCAAGCCGAUGUGAUCAAUACAUGUUGCAAAACUCGAUAAUGAGUGGUAGAAUCAGUAAAUGGGCUUAUGCACUUAUAGAAUACGACUUGGCCUAUGAACCAUUGAAAUCUAUGAAAGGCCAGGUCGUAGCAGAUUUUAUUGUAGAACAUUGGAUUGAUAAUGCUCCUAAACCAGGCGUAUCAUAUCUCACGGUUACUCCCUGGACUCUAUAUUUUGAUGGAUUGGUUUGCAACAAAGGACAAGGAAUUAGCAUUGUGCUUGUUUGACCAAGUAAUGCUUCCUUUGACUUCUCUAGCCGAUUAAAAACUUAUUAUACUAACAAUCAAGCCGAAUAUGAAGCCCUUCUAUUCGGCUUGGAGCUAUUAAACUAUAUGGGAGUGAAACAUGUGAAGGCACUUGGUGAUUCUCAGCUAGUGGUCCAACAGAUAUUAGAAAAGUAUCAAUGUCUAGAUGGCACUCUAAAUAGUUACCUUGAAAAAUGUUGGGGCAUAAUUCAUUCUUUUGACGAAUUCAGCAAUCGACGCAUCUCUAGGAUUGAGAAUUAUAGAGCUAACAAUUUGGCACAAGAUGCAUCAGGUUGUCGGAUAAAGCGAGGGAAAUUUCACAACACCGAAAAUCUGAUAACCGGUGCAGGGCUAAUUCCCCAGGUCGCAGACCGUCCGGGGUUGCCAGGGAAGUCCUCCUGGUAAAAUCGGCUGAGAACAAAGCCGAUGAAACUGAUUGGAGGACGCCCAUAGUUGAUUACCUACGAAAUCCCAGUGUUAGGACAGAUAGGAACGUUCGACGUACAGCUUUCAAGUAUGUUUUAACGAGUGAUAAACUCUACCGCCGAAAUGGUUGAUGACGUCCUGCUUAAGUGCUUGGGCCCAAGUGAUGCUAUAUUAGCCAUGGCCGAAGUACAUGAAGGAAUUUGUGGUACCCAUCAAUCAGCUCCGAAGAUGAAGUCGUUAUUGCGAAGAUCUGGCUUCUAUUGGCCUAACAUGAUAGCCGAUUGUUUCAAGUAAUACAAAGGAUGCCAAGUAUGUCAAAAAAUCGGCGACUUACAAAUGAUCCCUAUAGCCGAAUUACAUCCUAUCAUUAAACCUUGGCCUUUCAGAGGAUGGGGAUUGGACUUUAUAGGAGAAAUCCAUCCUUCAUCAUCAAAGGGGCAUUGGUUUGUGUUAGUUGCCACUGACUACUUUACUAAAUGGACUGAAGUUGUUGCUCUGAAGAACAUGACACAUAGGGAGGUAAUUGAGUUCAUAACCGAGUAUAUUAUUCAUAGAUUCGACAUUCCCCACACUUUAACUACAAACCAGGGGGCUUCUUUUAUGUCAAAGGAGGUACAUGAGUUUGCUGAAUUAUAUAGAAUCAAAUUGCUCAAUUCUUCUCCGUAUUAUGCUUAGGACAAUGGGCAGGCCGAGUCUAGUAAUAGAACAUUGAUUAUCCUGAUAAAAAGGAAAGUAUCUGAUCAUCCUAAAUAGUGGCAUAGAAUUUUGUCCGAAGCUUUAUGGGUUCAUAGGAUAUAUAAACACCGUGCUACUAAAGUAUCUCCGUUUAAGCUUGUCUAUGGGCAGGAAGCAGUGUUGCCUGUGGAAAUAAGCUUAGAUGUUGUCAAUCUCUUGUCGGUGAUUAUUAUAAUUCAACGAUGGACAAUAUUGAUGAAGUGACCGACAAGAGAUUGACAGCUUUAGGAGAAAUAGAUCAGGACAAGAUCAUAGUUGCCAAAGCUUACAACAAGAAGGUCAAUGCUAAAUCGUUCCACCUAGGGGACCUGGUAUGAAAGACUAUCUUACCUCUAAGGAAUAAAGACUGGAAGUUUGUGAAGUGGUUGCCAAGCUGGGAAGGACCUUACAAGGUCACGCAAGUGAUGUCCUGUAAUGCCUACUUGUUGCAAACAUUACAAGGCAAAGACUUGCCUAAGGCGUUAAAUGGAUGUUUCCUCAAGCAGUACCAUCCUAGUAUGUGGCAAGAUGCCUAAGAAACCGAUGUGAUCGCAUCUAGUUAGUUGCUUUUGGUUCACUCAGCUCCGCUAAAAGGCAGGGGCAUAUGUUGAGCACCAAAAUAGGUAGGGCGGACGGUCCGGCCCUGAGGCCGGACGGUCCGCGCGCGCAUAGAGCCAGUUAGGUUUCCGAGUUUCUUGCGACGGUUGUUAGCUAAAUUCACGGAAUUAACUUGGGAGAUUGGUUUGUAACGGGUCCAGAACCCCUCCUCUAUACAUAUAGAGGAAUACGGUCGAUUGGAAUCAUCAAAAAUUGAAUCAAUGACUAGUAUGCAUCUCGUUUUUACCUUAGGAAUUAGGAGUAGUUCUAGUUUGUUCUAGUUUAGCCUCUCAAUCCCCAAAUCCUCCGCUUCUCUUCGACUCUACAUCUAUUAGAGGUGUCUAGGUCGGCCUGCUAACCAUAGACAAAGCCUAGGACCUCUCCUCCCCGACAGGGUCCCUCCCGAGAGUGAGAUCCAGGCGCUGCCGGCGAACUCCGCCACCCCUGCGCACGCGCGGACCGUCAAGCCUGCAGGCGCAGACCGUUCGGCUCGUUAGGUCGGAACGCCAGCCCUGCGCCAAGUCGCAGACCGUCCGGCCCCUGGCCACGGACCGUCCGUGCAUGUGCAGAGAGCACCAUCGCCGGUUCUCAACGCAGUUAUUGGCACCCUGAUCGGCGCCAAUAGAUUGAAAUGAGAUAUAGGAUGGGAGAUAGGACGAGUAAGUUGUUGGAGAUAGCCUUAUUGUGUGGUUACAUGGACACCUGCGACUUCGAGGUUUAUUUUACCUAUCUCUACUUCUUAAAAGGACUCGUUUCAACGGUUGUUCUAUGCCACGCACGAAGUGCACAUCUGUUUCUCUCUCCCUCGCUUUUUUCCUUAACAAUUGCAUCACAUGUGACGAUCGUUCUGCGGCAUGCGCGAAGCACACAUGUUUCCUCUUCUAGCGCUUCUCAUGUAACAACUGGACACAUCUGUUUUCCGCUUUCGUUUCUCGCCUAACAACUACGUCACGCGUGAAGCGCACAUCUGUUUCCCCCUCUACCAUGUGCGAAGCGCACAUCUGUUUCUCAUUGCCAGCUCAUAAUUUAGUGGCAGCCCAUAAUUAGCUUAAAGAUAGGAGGCUGGUGGUUUUCACUGACAUAGAACCAAGCUACAAUUAGCAGAUUUCUGGUUUUCCAUAAUUGAGAUUUUGGUGACUUUUUUAUAAUUGGCAGCUUAUGCAACUAUGCAAGAAGGGUAGAAAGUGAAAGUGCAGGAUGGUCUGCACAACAGACAACGAUACACCUCAUCAGAGAACUAGAUUAGCUGUUGAUUUAAACAAUUAUCGUAACAAUUAUGUUGUAAGACCAACAUAUUAAUAAAUUUAAUAUUAUAAGGAUAUAUAUAAAUAUCUUGUAUUUAAUAUUUUUUUAAUUACGCAGUACACUUACACUAGUAUUAUAAAAAAUUGGGACUGUCUGGAUCACUUAGGGGGUGUUUGGUUUGAGGAAUCACUCCAUUCAAAAUGUGGUGAUGCAUCAUGAGUCUAUUCCUCAAAUUUGGUGGGAUGACCUCAUUCCUCAUAUUAAUACUGACUAACUAAGUAUAAUGAAUGAGAUGAUAAUGGAUCAACUCAUUCCAUUCCACAAACCAAACAAAAAAGUGAGGAGUGAGAAGAUGAUGAACUAGCUCAUUCCUCAAACCAAACAACUAAUGCAUCUAGCUAGGUGUAAAGUUGGUUAUUGAUAUAAUCAUAUAGAUGUCCCUAUUAGCUUAUUGGGGGCAGUUAAUGGAUUAUUGCUGCUUAAAUUGCUGGCUUUUAUUACUUUACCAAUAAGCUGACCAGUUUAAAUCAGCUAUAACUUUUUAGCAGCUUGCGGUAUGUUUAGGGGUUGGGGUGUUCAGGAAUGAGGAGGUUGUCUUGUCUUUGAUGAAUAUCAUGGAUGUCAGAUUGUAAGAUGAGGUAUUCAGAAAUAUUUUCCUCUUUUAUGAGGAAUUUAGGGAUUUUUUAAGGAGAUGGGAUGCUUAGGAAUUUGUUGCCAUGAUAGUAUUGCAUAAGGCGAUUUUUCAGCAAGGUUCUAAAUCUUCCGCUAUAGCUAGCUACCACUAU